This 409-nucleotide ribosomal RNA is filed under the name Actinomycetes bacterium. Its description in RNAcentral is "Actinobacteria bacterium partial 16S ribosomal RNA". It matches the Rfam family "Bacterial small subunit ribosomal RNA", at positions 355 to 776 of the family's 1533-position model. Lineage: Bacteria; Bacillati; Actinomycetota; Actinomycetes. The record is from RNAcentral.
UGGGGAAUAUUGCACAAUGGGCGGAAGCCUGAUGCAGCGACGCCGCGUGGGGGAUGAAGGCCUUCGGGUUGUAAACUCCUUUCGACAGGGACGAAGCUUUUGUGACGGUACCUGUAUAAGAAGCACCGGCUAACUACGUGCCAGCAGCCGCGGUAAUACGUAGGGUGCGAGCGUUGUCCGGAAUUACUGGGCGUAAAGAGCUCGUAGGUGGUUUGUCGCGUCGUCUGUGAAAUUCCGGGGCUUAACUCCGGGCGUGCAGGCGAUACGGGCUGACUUGAGUGCUGUAGGGGAGACUGGAAUUCCUGGUGUAGCGGUGAAAUGCGCAGAUAUCAGGAGGAACACCGAUGGCGAUGGCAGGUCUCUGGGCAGUAACUGACGCUGAGGAGCGAAAGCAUGGGUAGCGAACAGG